UCAAUAUUCUCAUACUUUGUUCUUGGAUGUCUUUAAUUUAUAUGGAAAGUUUGGUCCUUUGGGGUUUUCUUUUUAAGCUUUGCUAGCAGGACCAGAAAUAAAGGUUGUUUCGAUGGCUAAUUCAUCCUGAACACUGAGGCAAAAUCUUUCUGAGUCCUCCACCAUAUGCUGCCUGAAUUAUAGGUUUUCUAAUUUGUAUGGUGCAAACAGGCACUAUUCCCAGCUCUAUGCAAGCCCAGGUAUUAUUCCCUCUAAUCCUUUCAGGUGCUUCUUUCCCCAGCCUUGGGUAGUUUUCUCACUUGCUCUGAUUAGUAUUUAGCUAAAGACUCUCGGGGAACUUCAGAUUAUAAGGGAGGACCUCUGUGAGCAUCCAAGUGUGAACUAUUGAGAAGUUGAAGAGUGGAAAAACGUAAAUAAUGGAGGAAGUUUGCAAAGCAAAAGGGAAUAGGGAUUUCCCAGGAAUAAGUAAGAAGCACAGGGCUCAGGUGACAUUCAACACUGUCACUGUGAUGAAAGUCUGAACCCGGGUGAAGGAGAGAGGGAGAGAGGUAGGAUGGAAGCAUCCUAGACUGCAUGCAGCCUAAGGAAGAUUCAGCAAAGCCAUCAGCGAGUCCUUGCGUCCUGGCCCACAGUGGAGUUUCUCCGUGUCUUCCAGGAACGAGUCUGCCCUGGUAUUCCCACCACACCCAGUUAUUGGCAGGAAGAGCCUGUGGGAGGUGUGGCCUCGGUGCACAUGUGGAGAUGGUUUUAAAAAUGCAGCAGCUGGAGCCCUUGAUCAAUUAUUUCCUGUAAGAGGAGGUCUGCCAGCAGAGAGGUGGUGGCUGCCUGGAGGGCCGGAGGAGCAGCAGAGAACACAGCAGCCAACCCUGUCAGAGCGCCUACCCGCAUCCCCCAGCACUCAGUGGCUCAGUGCUCACAGACUUCCAACUGCAACGCAACCCUGUCAGAGCGCCUACCCGCAUCCCCCAGCACUCAGUGGCUCAGUGCUCACAGACUUCCAACUGCAACGCAACCCUGUCAGAGCGCCUACCCGCAUCCCCCAGCACUCAGUGGCUCAGUGCUCACAGACUUCAACUGCAACGCAACCCUGUCAGAGCGCCUACCUGCAUCCCCCAGCACUCCGUGGCUCAGUGCUCACAGACUUCAACUGCAACGCCUUGCUUAGGGACUUCCUAUGGCCUCUAGAGCUGGCAGUUAGUGUGGGCCAGGCAGGCAGAAAGUGCCUUGCCCGUAAUACCCCUGGAAACAGUCAAGGACUGGCUGGAGUUGGUGGAAAAUACCCUGGCGGAAGGCAACUCUGAGGCAUGCUCCAUGUGCCCUCGCAGAGGUCCCCAGUGGACCUGAGCCCCACCUGCCCGUGGAGCUAACCUGCUCAUUAGUGCACCACGCACUGGCUUCCUUCAGUUCCUUAUCUUAACUCCCCAUUCCCUUAUGAUGGGAUUGACUCCCAAAUCAAUGUUUUGCACUCAAAUCUUCCUCUCAGGGUCUGUGUCUGGGGGAACCUAACGUAAGACAAAUACCAUGCGUGAGGUUUAACAUGAGCACAGACCACGGAAGUGGCUGCUUGCACACCAGGUGUUUUGCAGCCCUCAUUUGAGUGUUGAGAAGAGAAGUCGUAGGUGUGUGGCUGUGCAACAUUGUGCUGUCAUCGGUAAAGUCAGGGAAGAAUAGCUACCUCCCAGGUUUUGGAAAAAAUAAACUACAUGAUUCUCCUGCAUGUGCUUUUCUUUUAACAACGUCAGAUUGUGUUUAUGAGUAAAGUUGAUAGAAGUUAGAUUGAUGCAUCUGUCCAAGGAUUGGCCUACAGAAAAUCAGUUCUCCUCAAAAAAUGAUACAGGAAGGGCUCAGCCAAUCCUGGCUGAUCCCAGACCUGAAUCCACCAGAGACAGUUAUUGCCAUCAUGAGAUGCUUAGAACAAAAGAACAUGGAUUAAGUUAGAACCUAUGUUCCAAGUCAGUCUCAACGUAAAAGUACUUUUCAAAACUUGAGGGAUGUAGCUAGCAUAUUGUUGGCAAAGUACUAAAGUCUCCUGAGUUAGUUCAGAGGAGAAGCAACAUACAAAAGGUGUUGAGAAAUGGUGGAGGGUGAGGAAGAACUCUGGAAACAAAAAAAAAGAGAAAGAUCUGAUUAUUUAGCCUCACCAAGGCUCAGUUUGUCCAUCUGUAAAACAGAGGUAAUGGGACCCUCAAGGUUGUAGCAAAGAAUAGAUGUUAAUGCGGUGCCGGGCACAUGGUAUUCACACAAUGCAUGCAAGCUGUAUUGUUAAUAUUAUGACUAUUUGGCUGAAACUGCAUAAACUAGCCUCAUGUCAUCCGCAAGAUUAUAACAUAGUUUACAUAAUUACAUGGGUUUGUUUAUACGGACUACUGCAGUCUUUUAAUUAUGCUCGGGAAUGCUAGAACUCAACAAUCGGGGCUCGUGGCUCUGAAGUUCCAUUAGUUCUGGCUGCACGAUUAUAUUGUAUAGUAAUCCAGUGUGUUUUUUUCCAAUAAAAGAUUGUGUAAAAAGUCUAUUCAUUUCUUACUGCUGCAGCAAGACAACAUCUUUUGGAGAGGAAGAUGUGGGGUUCCGUUUUAAAGGAAGCGAUUCC
Equus caballus (horse) is the source of this 2590-nucleotide long non-coding RNA. The record is from Ensembl. Lineage: Eukaryota; Metazoa; Chordata; Mammalia; Perissodactyla; Equidae.